GUAAAAGAUAAAUCUUAUUCUAUCUGUUCUUAAUGAGUUUUAGAUAAUUUUAGUUGUAUUUCUUUGUAAUUUUGUGUUGUACAAAGAUUAAUUUAACAUUUUCUCUGGAAGUGUUAAUUUAGGAAGAUAAUAUGCUUCAUUGGUGUUGUGUUUUGAAGUGUGAAAUGCAAAGUAAUUGUGAUAAAGUCAAGAUAAAGUUCACUUUUAAACUGAACUAAAUAAGGUAUCUGCGAGACAACAAUGGUUAAAUGCAAUACAAUGUACAGGUUUUACUAGCGAAACGAAAAUUUUCCUGUCCUGUCUGCUGUAAUCAUUUUAUAUCUGGAAAACCAGCCGACUUAAUCGAUAAUAACAAUCUCCAGAUUGGGUUCCUUCAAUAAAUAUGGGCUAUAAACACAAUGAAAUAAGUUCCCCAAAAUCUAAAAUGGAGUGGUAUCAAAGGAGAAUUAAAGGAAAAAAUAUUCAUAUUGAAAUUAUUUAUAAGGCACUGGACUGUCUUAAAUUCUACAAUAAUACUAGAAUCAGCUGAGAGAAGUGGUCUACAAAAAACCAGGAAGGAAACGGAAUAUGUGGCUACGAAAGGCAAAAGAAAGGUUUACAAAGCAAAUGUGACACAUUUUUUUGAAAUAUUUAGGAAUAUCAGUAAAUUGCAUUAAAAGAAUGUAUGAAAAGAUUUUGUUCAAUAAAAAUGUUUAUAUUUA
Diabrotica virgifera virgifera (western corn rootworm) is the source of this 701-nucleotide long non-coding RNA. RefSeq lists it as uncharacterized. The record is from RefSeq and is a predicted model, not a curated record. The transcript has 3 exons. Lineage: Eukaryota; Metazoa; Arthropoda; Insecta; Coleoptera; Chrysomelidae.